CGAAGUGGUUGAUGCCAUGCUUCCAAGAAAAGCUUCUAAGCUUCAGGUAACCAGGAACCGUACCCCAAACCGACACAGGUGGUUGGGUAGAGAAUACCAAGGCGCUUGAGAGAACUCGGGUGAAGGAACUAGGCAAAAUGGCACCGUAACUUCGGGAGAAGGUGCGCCGGUGAGGGUGAAGGACUUGCUCCGUAAGCUCAUGCCGGUCGAAGAUACCAGGCCGCUGCGACUGUUUAUUAAAAACACAGCACUCUGCAAACACGAAAGUGGACGUAUAGGGUGUGACGCCUGCCCGGUGCCGGAAGGUUAAUUGAUGGGGUUAGCUAACGCGAAGCUCUUGAUCGAAGCCCCGGUAAACGGCGGCCGUAACUAUAACGGUCCUAAGGUAGCGAAAUUCCUUGUCGGGUAAGUUCCGACCUGCACGAAUGGCGUAACGAUGGCGGCGCUGUCUCCACCCGAGACUCAGUGAAAUUGAAAUCGCUGUGAAGAUGCAGUGUAUCCGCGGCUAGACGGAAAGACCCCGUGAACCUUUACUAUAGCUUUGCACUGGACUUUGAAUUUGCUUGUGUAGGAUAGGUGGGAGGCUUUGAAGCGUGGACGCCAGUCUGCGUGGAGCCAACCUUGAAAUACCACCCUGGCAACUUUGAGGUUCUAACUCAGGUCCGUUAUCCGGAUCGAGGACAGUGUAUGGUGGGUAGUUUGACUGGGGCGGUCUCCUCCUAAAGAGUAACGGAGGAGUACGAAGGUGCGCUCAGACCGGUCGGAAAUCGGUCGUAGAGUAUAAAGGCAAAAGCGCGCUUGACUGCGAGACAGACACGUCGAGCAGGUACGAAAGUAGGUCUUAGUGAUCCGGUGGUUCUGUAUGGAAGGGCCAUCGCUCAACGGAUAAAAGGUACUCCGGGGAUAACAGGCUGAUACCGCCCAAGAGUUCAUAUCGACGGCGGUGUUUGGCACCUCGAUGUCGGCUCAUCACAUCCUGGGGCUGAAGCCGGUCCCCAGGGUAUGGCUGUUCGCCAUUUAACGUGGUACGCGAGCUGGGUUUAGAACGUCGUGAGACAGUUCGGUCCCUAUCUGCCGUGGACGUUUGAGAUUUGAGAGGGGCUGCUCCUAGUACGAGAGGACCGGAGUGGACGAACCUCUGGUGUUCCGGUUGUCACGCCAGUGGCAUUGCCGGGUAGCUAUGUUCGGAAUAGAUAACCGCUGAAAGCAUCUAAGCGGGAAACUAGCCUCAAGAUGAGAUCUCACUGGGACCUUGAGUCCCCUGAAGGGCCGUCGAAGACUACGACGUUGAUAGGUUGGGUGUGUAAGCGCUGUGAGGCGUUGAGCUAACCAAUACUAAUUGCCCGUGAGGCUUGACCAUAUAACACCCAAGCAAUU
RNAcentral lists this ribosomal RNA (1377 nucleotides) under Pseudomonas fluorescens ICMP 11288. Its description in RNAcentral is "bacterial LSU rRNA". It matches the Rfam family "Bacterial large subunit ribosomal RNA", at positions 1586 to 2925 of the family's 2925-position model. The record is from RNAcentral. Lineage: Bacteria; Pseudomonadati; Pseudomonadota; Gammaproteobacteria; Pseudomonadales; Pseudomonadaceae.